AAUCAACGCUGGCGGCGUGCCUCAGACAUGCAAGUCGAACGCGAAAGUUUCCUUCGGGAGACAAGUAGAGUGGCGCACGGGUGAGUAACACGUAGGUAAUCUACCUUUGGAUGGGGAAUAACAACCGGAAACGGUUGCUAAUACCGCAUAAUGCAGCGGCACCUAAUGGUGACAGUUGUUAAAGCGGGGAGUCGAAAGACCUCGCGUCUGAAGAGGAGCCU
Molecule: ribosomal RNA, 221 nt
Filed under: uncultured bacterium
Lineage: Bacteria
Description: partial 16S ribosomal RNA
Rfam family: Bacterial small subunit ribosomal RNA
Source: RNAcentral